Molecule: ribosomal RNA, 564 nt
Filed under: Hanseniaspora uvarum
Lineage: Eukaryota; Fungi; Ascomycota; Saccharomycetes; Saccharomycodales; Saccharomycodaceae
Description: eukaryotic LSU rRNA
Rfam family: Eukaryotic large subunit ribosomal RNA
Source: RNAcentral
GGCGAGUGAGCGGUAAAAGCUCAAAUUUGAAAUCUGGUACUUUCAGUGCCCGAGUUGUAAUUUGUAGAAUUUGUCUUUGAUUAGGUCCUUGUCUAUGUUCCUUGGAACAGGACGUCAUAGAGGGUGAGAAUCCCGUUUGGCGAGGAUACCUUUUCUCUGUAAGACUUUUUCGAAGAGUCGAGUUGUUUGGGAAUGCAGCUCAAAGUGGGUGGUAAAUUCCAUCUAAAGCUAAAUAUUGGCGAGAGACCGAUAGCGAACAAGUACAGUGAUGGAAAGAUGAAAAGAACUUUGAAAAGAGAGUGAAAAAGUACGUGAAAUUGUUGAAAGGGAAGGGCAUUUGAUCAGACAUGGUGUUUUUUGCAUGCACUCGCCUCUCGUGGGCUUGGGCCUCUCAAAAAUUUCACUGGGCCAACAUCAAUUCUGGCAGCAGGAUAAAUCAUUAAGAAUGUAGCUACUUCGGUAGUGUUAUAGCUUUUUGGAAUACUGUUAGCCGGGAUUGAGGACUGCGCUUCGGCAAGGAUGUUGGCAUAAUGGUUAAAUGCCGCCCGUCUUGAAACACGGACC